UUUUUCUUCACUGAGGUCUUAUAGAUAAGAUUUUCUCUUUAUAAACUUUGCAUUUUGUAAAAUAUAUUAUUUGUCUAUGAGCACAGAAAAAAUUCAUCCAGAUAAUCCAAGACCAAGGAUAUUUCUUAGAUUAAUGUCUUUUUCCAUAUGAGCAUCAGCAGAUGAGAAUAAGACUCAAUGUACAUAAAUACCACAUGUCUGUAGAAAGGCAUUUCCUGAACUAGAGACCCAAAGGACACACUUUCCAGGAUAUUAAUGUCACAGAAAAUGUUUGGUGCACCAUUAAGUCACAUUUACUGUAAUAGAAGCUCCAUGAGAAGAGGGACUUUGUCUUUUUUUACCACUGCAGCUCCAGCAUCUAAAACAGGUCCUGACACAUAGUAGGCACUCAAAAUAUUUAUUAUUAAAUGAAAUGUUGCCUUAAACUAGUUUAACCAGGUUUCUUUACUGCAGGACUUUCCAGAGGCUUAUCAUGCUAAUAUAUGUAGUGAAGCUCCAAGAGGAGGUGCUGGCAUAACUUAUUUCUCAAACCUAUUUGAACAUGGGUCACCCCAGGACAUAUCUAUUCACACCUAGUGGCACUGUGUUCCAUAGAAGUUUGGGAAAUGCUGAGUUAAAUUAAAAGGACAGGUAAAAAUAUCUAAGGCAAAAGGGAGUACAGGUAGUUAAUCCACAAUUUAGGUUCUGUUACAACUUUUUGCUGACUUACAUUCUUUGAUCUUUGAAUACAGGAAAAAUGAAGAAGAGGAUGGAGGAGAGAGCAUGGGUGGGAGGAGAGAGAGGAAAAACAGAAAGGAAAGACAAAGAGAGAGACAGAGAGAAAUGACCAUUUGAGAUGGAAGAAGUGGUACUCUGAAUUGCAGGAAAAAAUUCAGAUUGUGCUGGGCUUUACUGGCAGAUGAUUGGCAGCUGGAAGCUUCUCGUGGAACCUAGUGAUGAUAAUUGCCCACAGGCUGGAUUUAUCUUGUAAAGACUUGCUUGAAGCCUUAUCUGCUCAAUUGGCUGUGACCAGGAAAGAGGACACUGAUGGUUAGAUCUGUUCUCUUUUUUCAAUAUGGGUUCAUCCACCCAUCCUUUCUACCCUGGGACACACAUUAGUGAAUGGUCUGGAUUCGUUACUACAGAAGAAAUUAGGCACAGAUGAAGAAUAGGUAAUACUGCAGAUUUUGGAGACAAGCCAUUGGGUUGAUGUGUGAGCGACAGACUUGCCUGCCAUUGCUCCACUGUCCCCUGGAUCCUUCUUCAGCUUCUCUGACUCCUGGGCCAGUGUGUAUAUUUAGCUCCUUGAUGAGGGACCCUGGCUUCUGCAGGACACCCACCCCAACAAGACUUCUCAGGUGAAUAGAAUGUGCAGCCAAAGAUUGAAGCUGAUGUCACAGAUCACUGGAUGGCCAGUCAUCACAUCUGUUAUGUCCGUUCCACUUCACUGGUGCCAGCCAUUUAUGCCCUCUUUUGAGUCAUCUAUUGUGCUCAGUAGGCGAGGCUGUGGUGAUCACCUGGCAAUUUCCCCUGUGCAUCUAGGCAGGAGGAUUGAUGGCCCACAGAACUGGUGAUUGCCAUCCCUGAGUGGAGAAAGGAUCUGGGGAAGGGGUCUUAUAUUUUGGAUCAGACAAGUUAGUAAAAUUAUUGUAAUAAACCAACUGCAGGUUCUUUCACAAAUUCGUGGGGCCCCCUAUGGCCUCAAUGCUAGAUAUUUUUAUACUCUCAUAGCACAACCUCAUGACACUUAGCACAGUGAUGAAAUUUUAAAAUUUACUUGUGGGAUUAUUUGAUUAUUAUUGACUACAAUAUCCAUGAGAAAAAUGAUGCUUUGCUCACCAUUGCAUGUCCAGUGCCUGGGGACUCAAGAAACAGAUGCCAAAUAAGUGAACCAAGGAAGGCAUCGGGGCAGGCCCUGACUUAUUGGCAUUUAAGGGUCCCUUGGAGGGUCAACUGUGGAUCAGGGAUAGGCCUUGUGUCUCCUGUGUCUGAAGUCCUGUGGGGACACAGCAGACAGAAGCUAGGCCUCCACUCUCUUCUGGCUUGUCCAGGCUCCACUGAGAGCCUGUUGUCGUGGCUGCUCUCCCAGAUAUACCAGAGAUGGAUAGACAAUGGGAAGAGGAGGCUAUUGGCUGCAUGUCUGAGUUUGCACUGGUCUCAGGAAACCUUGAUACCUGCCAACUCUUUAAGGUAGCCUUUUCUGAAGGCAAAAUUGAGCUGAAGCACAAACCUAGGAGAUGCCUUGUUCCUGCGGCCUGCCUCCAUACACUUCAUCAGGAGCCAUCUUUCUCAGAAAAGAAUAAUAAGGGCCACUGUUCCUCCCACUCCCAGGCCCCAGGGUAGCCUUCAGAGGAAAGCCGUGGGUCAUGAGGUUGCAGCACUGUGGGAGUGGGAAGAAAGAAAAUGGUUUCCAGAGCAGAUAUCAGUUACCGGACUCUCAGAAAGUUUUUAGCGGCUUCUUUCUCAUUUCUAUCCAGGAACAUGGGAGGAAGGGUGCUGGGUUUGCAUGGUCAAAGUAAUACAUACAGAAAUAGUUCCAAGGGAGGCACAGAGAGAAGGCCUAUGAAGUGAUAAUGGCUGUUUCAUCGCAGGAUGGCAAAGCCUGGCUCUGGGCCUGUGUCUCCGUCAGGGUCUUGGAGGUGAUAUUGUUCAUACGGCUGUCCCUUCGGUACUUAGAAGGCAUCCCAUACUUGUCUGGGAGAGUCCUGGAUACCUUUGCAAAAUAACUCUGAAUUUAUUGAAGAUUCUUUAAAAAAUUUAUUAUGAAUUGUAUUCAUAUAAAAAUGCAUGG
RNAcentral lists this long non-coding RNA (2770 nucleotides) under Homo sapiens (human). RNAcentral describes it as "HSALNT0172426". The record is from RNAcentral. Lineage: Eukaryota; Metazoa; Chordata; Mammalia; Primates; Hominidae.